AUUGAACGCUGGCGGCAGGCCUAACACAUGCAAGUCGAGCGGCAGCACAGAGAUUGCUCCUGCAUUCGGCGGCGGACGGGCGGGUGAUGGCUAGGAAUAUGCCAGGCUGUGGGGGCUUGGGUGAGAACGCGGGCACACAUACGCUAUUAGUGCUGAGGGCGUACGGGUGGGAGCUUCGGAUCUCCCGAUCUCACACGAGCCUAGGUCGGAUUAGCUAGUUGGUGGGGUAAAGGCCUACCAAGGCGACGAUCCGUAACUGGUCUGAGAGGAUGAUCAGCCACACUGGAACUGAGACACGGUCCAGACUCCUACGGGAGGCAGCAGUGGGGAAUAUUGGACAAUGGGCGAAAGCCUGAUCCAGCCAUGCCGCGUGUGUGAAGAAGGUCUUCGGGUUGUAAAGCACUUUAAUUUGGGAAGAAGAGCAGUAAGUUAAUACCCUGCUGUUUUGACGGUACCAACAGAAUAAGCACCGGCUAACUUCGUG
This 484-nucleotide ribosomal RNA is filed under the name uncultured bacterium. RNAcentral's name for it is "partial 16S ribosomal RNA". It matches the Rfam family "Bacterial small subunit ribosomal RNA", at positions 30 to 507 of the family's 1533-position model. The record is from RNAcentral.